GUGGGGAAUCUUGCGCAAUGGGCGAAAGCCUGACGCAGCCAUGCCGCGUGAAUGAUGAAGGUCUUAGGAUUGUAAAAUUCUUUCACCGGGGACGAUAAUGACGGUACCCGGAGAAGAAGCCCCGGCUAACUUCGUGCCAGCAGCCGCGGUAAUACGAAGGGGGCUAGCGCUGCUCGGAAUUACUGGGCGUAAAGGGCGCGUAGGCGGACCGUUUAGUCAGAGGUGAAAGCCCAGGGCUCAACCUUGGAAUUGCCUUUGAUACUGGCUGUCUUGAGUACGGGAGAGGUGAGUGGAACUCCGAGUGUAGAGGUGAAAUUCGUAGAUAUUCGGAAGAACACCAGUGGCGAAGGCGACUCACUGGCCCGUUACUGACGCUGAGGCGCGAAAGCGUGGGGAGCAAACAGGAUUAGAAACCCGAGUAGUCC
Molecule: ribosomal RNA, 425 nt
Filed under: uncultured bacterium
Lineage: Bacteria
Description: partial 16S ribosomal RNA
Rfam family: Bacterial small subunit ribosomal RNA
Source: RNAcentral